RNAcentral lists this ribosomal RNA (247 nucleotides) under uncultured Trebouxiophyceae. Its description in RNAcentral is "partial small subunit ribosomal RNA". It matches the Rfam family "Eukaryotic small subunit ribosomal RNA", at positions 587 to 840 of the family's 1831-position model. Lineage: Eukaryota; Viridiplantae; Chlorophyta; Trebouxiophyceae. The record is from RNAcentral.
AGCUCCAAUAGCGUAUAUUUAAGUUGUUGCAGUUAAAAAGCUCGUAGUUGGAUUUCGGGCGGGUUCCUUCGGUCCGCCGAUCGGUGGCACUGUUGGAGCCUGUCUUGCUGUCGGGGACGGGCUCCUGGGCUUAAUUGUCCGGGACCCGGAGUCGACGAGGUUACUUUGAGUAAAUUAGAGUGUUCAAAGCAAGCCUACGCUCUGAAUACAUUAGCAUGGAAUAACACGAUAGGACUCUGGCCUAUCU